AGCGAACGCUGGCGGCGUGCCUAACACAUGCAAGUCGAACGUGAAAAGGGAAACCUGAGUAAAGUGGCGUACGGGUGAGUAACGCGUAGGUAAUCUACCCCAGAAUCUGGAAUAACCUGCCGAAAGGCGGGCUAAUACUGGAUAGAGCGAGGGAACUCGUAAGAGAGUUUUACGGGAAAGGGAGCCCGCAAGGGCCUUCGUUCUGGGAUGAGCCUGCGUCUCAUUAGCUAGUUGGUAAGGUAACGGCUUACCAAGGCGAUGAUGAGUAGCUGGUCUGAGAGGAUGAUCAGCCACACUGGAACUGAAACACGGUCCAGACUCCUACGGGAGGCAGCAGUGGGGAAUCUUGCGCAAUGGACGAAAGUCUGACGCAGCCACGCCGCGUGAGUGAAGAAGGCCUUCGGGUUGUAAAGCUCUGUCGGAUGGGACGAACAUCUUCAUAGUGAAUAGCUAUGAGGACUGACGGUACCAUCAAAGGAAGCACCGGCUAACUCCGUG
RNAcentral lists this ribosomal RNA (498 nucleotides) under uncultured bacterium. RNAcentral describes it as "partial 16S ribosomal RNA". It matches the Rfam family "Bacterial small subunit ribosomal RNA", at positions 29 to 507 of the family's 1533-position model. The record is from RNAcentral.